AAUCAGAGAAUGCUUAUCACGAAGCAGGAAGUGCUCUCCACUUAGCCUGAUGACAUGGGGGAGAGAAUUUUCUUUAGUUUUUGGUUGUUGUAUUUUGGUCACAAUGAUGGAAAGUUGACUAACACACUUAUUUAUGGCCUCUGAAAGAAUACUUUGCCAACUGUUCUCUACUUUCAGUGCCACAUUGCAACUCCUCUGCAGAUGUACCUGAUCUGUCGUUUUCUGAAUCUACACACCUGAGCUCUAAGAAAAAUGUGAUUGUGACAUGCUUUACAUUCAAUAUCUUCACAUGUGCCUACUGCAGAGAAAAAGAAGAAUGCUCUAAUACAAUUUUUCAUUCUUUAGAAAACAUAAGCUCCACAAAUUAAAUAAAUUACCCAGGGUAACCCAGCUAGUAAGAGGCAGAAGUAGGUGUAAAAUGUAGGACUUUUGACUACCAGUAUGUUUUGUCCCCACUAAUCUAUAUUGUUUUGUUGUUGCUUAUCUUUGUGUUAUCACUUUCUUAUUAGUAGUAAAAUUAAUUAAGUUUUGUAGAUAGAGGAGAGAUCUUAUUAUAAAUUUCAGAUUUUUAUAUUUUUAAAAAUUAUAUAUGUAGAAAUGCAAAUAAGCAAAAACAAAACAAAACCCUCAAAUACCAGAAAAUGAACAAAGCAAACACCAUUUACCUGCUGCUUGGUAUCUUAACACUGUAUAUAUUUGGAAUCUUCCUCUAUAUUUUUAUAUACAUAGACAAAUUUACAUAUGCAUAAAUGUAUAUGUACUUUUACAAAAAUAUUGUGUAACUUUUAAUUUAUUACAUAGGAUUUUAAAAUCAUUGUCUCAUUUUAUUUUUUUAACAACACUAUUUGGUACUACUUAGUGUAAGAGUCUUAAAGUCCCUAGGAUGUGAUCUGGAGACAAGAAAAUCUUCAUUGGAUUGCAAGUUUUUUAUGUUACAUUGUGGAUGGCAGAGGUAUUUAACUUUAAUAAUAACUAAUAUUGGAGGUAGCUAGGAUUUAUUGAAUAUUAUUUUCAUUUAUUACAGGGAAGGAAAUUAUUUUCUAGAUUAAAAAAAUAGACUAAGAAGAUCCUACUAUUCCCUUUGACCCAUCCUCUGCUCUAAAUGAUAAUAGAGAAAAUACUCUUUGAAUAACAAUAGAUCAAAGUGGUUCACAACAGAACAGAGUGUAUACCAUUUAAUGAGUGCAGCACAAAUCAGAAUACCAUUAAAUAGGAGAAUUCUUGAGAACAUGGAUUUAAAUUUUCCCUCCCAUAAUCUUCUGGUAAAAUAAACUAAAUGAAUGUAAACCACAUAUCUUCCAUGAUUUAUUACAAUUAUUACCUGUAUUUUACCUUAGCUUAGGAUUGCUGAUGAAGAGGAUCCAGCACACAGAAAAAAAAAAGCACUUGGAGAUGAAGAUAAAUGUAUAGUUGUAGAUGGUCUGCAUUACAAACAAAAGUUCACAGAUGAAGGGUAUUUUAAUGCAAUUUUUAGAGAAUGUAAUUAAAUACCUAUGC
Long non-coding RNA from Marmota monax (woodchuck), 1497 nucleotides. RefSeq lists it as uncharacterized. Lineage: Eukaryota; Metazoa; Chordata; Mammalia; Rodentia; Sciuridae. The transcript has 4 exons. The record is from RefSeq and is a predicted model, not a curated record.